RNAcentral lists this ribosomal RNA (121 nucleotides) under uncultured bacterium. The record is from RNAcentral.
UUUUCCGGUGGCCAUAGCAAGAGGGUUCCACCCGUUCCCAUUCCGAACACGGCAGUUAAGCCUCUUUGCGCCGAUGGUACUUGGCUCAAUGGGCCUGGGAGAGUAGGUCGCCGCCGGAUUU